RNAcentral lists this small RNA (16 nucleotides) under Arabidopsis thaliana (thale cress). RNAcentral describes it as "ATSL010740". The record is from RNAcentral. Lineage: Eukaryota; Viridiplantae; Streptophyta; Magnoliopsida; Brassicales; Brassicaceae.
UGCAUCAUCAUUCCAG